GACGAACGCUGGCGGCGUGCCUAAUACAUGCAAGUCGAACGCAGUGGGGACGGGUGAGUAACACGUGGGUAACCUCCCAUCAGAGGGGAUAACACUUGGAAACAGGUGCUAAACCGAUACUGAUGGAUGAACCCGCGGUGCAUUAGCUAGUUGGUGAGGUAACGGCUCACCAAGGCCACGAUGCAUAGCCGACCGGGUGGGGUGAUCGGCCACACUGGUACUGAGAAACGCCCCAGACUCCUACGGGAGGCAGCAGUAGGAAAUCUUCGGAAUUGGACGAAAGUCUGACCUAGCAACGCCGCUUGAGUGAAGAAGGUUUUCGGAUCGUAAAACUCUGUUGUUAGAGAAGCGGUAUCUAACCAGAAAGCCACGGCUAACUACGUGCCAGCAGCCGCGGUAAUUC
RNAcentral lists this ribosomal RNA (403 nucleotides) under uncultured bacterium. RNAcentral describes it as "partial 16S ribosomal RNA". It matches the Rfam family "Bacterial small subunit ribosomal RNA", at positions 28 to 526 of the family's 1533-position model. The record is from RNAcentral.